AGAGUUUGAUCAUGGCUCAGGACGAACGCUGGCGGCACGCUUAACACAUGCAAGUCGAACGAGAGAAGAGGAGCUUGCUUUUCUGAUCUAGUGGCGGACGGGUGAGUAACACGUGAGCAAUCUGCCUUUCAGAGGGGGAUACCGAUUGGAAACGAUCGUUAAUACCGCAUAACAUAAGUGAACCGCAUGAUUUGAUUAUCAAAGAUUUAUCGCUGAAAGAUGAGCUCGCGUCUGAUUAGCUAGCUGGUAAGGUAACGGCUUACCAAGGCGACGAUCAGUAGCCGGACUGAGAGGUUGAUCGGCCACAUUGGGACUGAGACACGGCCCAGACUCCUACGGGAGGCAGCAGUGGGGAAUAUUGCACAAUGGAGGAAACUCUGAUGCAGCGAUGCCGCGUGAGGGAAGAAGGUUUUAGGAUUGUAAACCUCUGUCUUCAGGGACGAAAAAAGACGGUACCUGAGGAGGAAGCUCCAGCUAACUACGUGCCAGCAGCCGCGGUAAUACGUAGGGAGCGAGCGUUGUCCGGAAUUACUGGGUGUAAAGGGAGCGUAGGCGGGAUCGCAAGUCAGAUGUGAAAACUAUGGGCUUAACCCAUAAACUGCAUUUGAAACUGUGGUUCUUGAGUGAAGUAGAGGUAAGCGGAAUUCCUAGUGUAGCGGUGAAAUGCGUAGAUAUUAGGAGGAACAUCAGUGGCGAAGGCGGCUUACUGGGCUUUAACUGACGCUGAGGCUCGAAAGCGUGGGGAGCAAACAGGAUUAGAUACCCUGGUAGUCCACGCCGUAAACGAUGAUUACUAGGUGUGGGGGGACUGACCCCUUCCGUGCCGCAGCAAACGCAAUAAGUAAUCCACCUGGGGAGUACGACCGCAAGGUUGAAACUCAAAGGAAUUGACGGGGGCCCGCACAAGCAGUGGAGUAUGUGGAUUAAUUCGAAGCAACGCGAAGAACCUUACCAGGUCUUGACAUCGUAUGCAUAGCUCAGAGAUGAGUGAAAUCUCUUCGGAGACAUAUAGACAGGUGGUGUAUGGUUGUCGUCAGCUCGUGUCGUGAGAUGUUGGGUUAAGUCCCGCAACGAGCGCAACCCUUACUGUUAGUUGCUACGCAAGAGCACUCUAGCAGGACUGCCGUUGACAAAACGGAGGAAGGUGGGGAUGACGUCAAAUCAUCAUGCCCCUUAUGACCUGGGCCUCACACGUACUACAAUGGCUGUCAACAGAGGGAAGCAAAGCCGCGAGGUGGAGCGAACCCCUAAAAGCAGUCUUAGUUCGGAUUGUAGGCUGCAACCCGCCUACAUGAAGUCGGAAUUGCUAGUAAUCGCAGAUCAGCAUGCUGCGGUGAAUACGUUCCCGGGCCUUGUACACACCGCCCGUCACGCCAUGGGAGUCGGUAACACCCGAAGCCUGUAGUCUAACCGCAAGGAGGCAGCCGACCAAGGUGGGAUUGAUGACUGGGGUGAAGUCGUAACAAGGUA
This 1470-nucleotide ribosomal RNA is filed under the name metagenome. RNAcentral describes it as "bacterial SSU rRNA". It matches the Rfam family "Bacterial small subunit ribosomal RNA". The record is from RNAcentral.